RNAcentral lists this ribosomal RNA (497 nucleotides) under uncultured bacterium. RNAcentral describes it as "partial 16S ribosomal RNA". It matches the Rfam family "Bacterial small subunit ribosomal RNA", at positions 28 to 507 of the family's 1533-position model. The record is from RNAcentral.
GAUGAACGCUGGCGGCGUGCCUAAUACAUGCAAGUCGAGCGAACAGACGAGGAGCUUGCUCCUCUGACGUUAGCGGCGGACGGGUGAGUAACACGUGGAUAACCUACCUAUAAGACUGGGAUAACUUCGGGAAACCGGAGCUAAUACCGGAUAAUAUAUUGAACCGCAUGGUUCAAUAGUGAAAGACGGUUUUGCUGUCACUUAUAGAUGGAUCCGCGCCGCAUUAGCUAGUUGGUAAGGUAACGGCUUACCAAGGCAACGAUGCGUGGCCGACCUGAGAGGGGGAUCGGCCACACUGGAACUGAGACACGGUCCAGACUCCUACGGGAGGCAGCAGUAGGGAAUCUUCCGCAAUGGGCGAAAGCCUGACGGAGCAACGCCGCGUGAGUGAUGAAGGUCUUCGGAUCGUAAAACUCUGUUAUUAGGGAAGAACAAAUGUGUAAGUAACUAUGCACGUCUUGACGGUACCUAAUCAGAAAGCCACGGCUAACUACGUG